RNAcentral lists this unclassified non-coding RNA (242 nucleotides) under plant metagenome. RNAcentral's name for it is "partial contains small subunit ribosomal RNA, internal transcribed spacer 1, and 5.8S ribosomal RNA". The record is from RNAcentral.
UUUCCGUUGGUGAACCAGCGGAGGGAUCAUUACAGAGUUUUCACAACUCCCAACCCUUGCGAACCUUACCCAUUCUGUUCUCGUUGCUUCCGGCGGGGGGGACGGGGGGGCCCGAAACGGCCUCCCCGCCCCGCCCGCCGGGGGCGGCGGGCCCUACGAACCUUUAUAUCUCAUCUACCAGAAACCUUCUGAGAAAACAAACAAAAUAAUCAAAACUUUCAACAACGGAUCUCUUGGUUCUG